RNAcentral lists this ribosomal RNA (34 nucleotides) under Calceolaria filicaulis. RNAcentral describes it as "partial 28S ribosomal RNA". The record is from RNAcentral. Lineage: Eukaryota; Viridiplantae; Streptophyta; Magnoliopsida; Lamiales; Calceolariaceae.
GGCGACCCCAGGUCAGGCGGGAUUACCCGCUGAG